CCUUGUUGCAUCAUUUUAACAUUAAGGUUAGAAAAAUGGUACAAAUGAAAAUAUUUGUAAAGAAUUGUGCACGUUAUUACAUCAGUAAUAAUAUAACCGCAGUAAUUAGAUAUAUUCAAAGAAGAAAAGAAAACCUUUUAUUUACUUGAGUUUAAAUAUAAUUUUAUAAAUUUGAAUGUAAACAUUAUUAUUCUUAAUGUGUUUGAAACUCAUUCUAAUAAUUUAUGUUGUUUAUCCAUGAAUACUAUUGCAUUCAUAAAACUGAAGAAAUAUGAAUGGAAAAGAGAUUCUUCAUACUUUUUGUCAAUGAGAGUAACACUAUCAAAGUGAAGAAGAAAAGUAAUAGAACUAAGGAAAGUCUAUAAACUUAUCUAUUAAGAAAACAAGGUAGGAAUUUCUUAUUCUGAUCUAGGUAUAGUAAUUACUUAAUUUUAUGAUUUAAGGAAUAUGUGAAUGAUCAUAAAUUAUUAUCUGAAAAAAUGUAAAAGUACUUAUAACACAACGACAACUUCCUUACCAAAUAUGAAUCUUUUAUUAUUAUUCAGUUCAAUGCUUGUUGAUGACACAGAUAGAUGCAAAAUGAAAAAUUGCUAUUAUAUUCCAUUGCUAUAACUACAUUUUGUCUAUUAUUAUAAAAUUAGUUGAAUUUAAACAAGAGAAUAAUACACCGUGGCAAAAGAAAAUGCUUUUUGUACUAACUAAAAUAAAAAUAUUGUUAUUAGUACGAUUCAUUUAAGAAUAAAUAAAUAGAAUGUUCUUACUCCGGAAAAUACUUGAUGCGAUGCUAUAAAGAAACCUCCAAUUGAGAGUGCACAUUCCAUUUUGCCUCUUAAAAUUAUAAACAACAGUAUUUUUUGAGUUUUUAUAGAAAGCAUAUAGAAUGGAACUUGACAUCUGUAAAAAAAAAAGUUUUAAUUGAUAUAAAAAAUACAUAAUAGUGAAUUGCUUAAUAAUUAGACUAUACUUUAUAUAAAUUUGAUAAAUAUUUGUUAACUCUUUCGCUCUUGUACACUCCAACAAGAACAUAACUUAUAAAACUUUUUAAAUGUGCUAUUUAAAGAUGAUGUUUAAAAUUUGUUUCUUGUCGAUACGAAAAAAACUCAGAUACCUUGUAUAUAGACCUUUUGAAAUAAAAGAGUUAAUAUGUGUAUUCUUUUAAAAGUUACUUUAGAAAUUCAAUAUUUAACAAAUCUUACAAUUCAUAGUAAGCAGUAUUGCUAUGAUUAAUAAUCUUUUGUCCCAUAUAAAAAUUAAUAUAUGCUAUAAAUAUAGAAACAAUAAGGUAGGAACAACACUCGAUUAUUCCCCCUGUUUUCUGUGAUACCGAAGAUAAUUUAAAUAUCUACAAGAAAAUUAAUGAAAUAUAUAAAUAUAUUGUAUCACACUUGUUUUUUUCUUUGUCAUGUUUCCUACUUACGUAAAAUCGACAACUUACAUUAAUAAAAUCCAAUAUUAUAAGGAUCAUCACAAGGAAAGAACAUAAUAAGUAAUUUAUUUUCGUGAAAUAACUUAUCAGAUCAACAAACCUUGAACAAUACAAAAUUUGAUUUAUUAUCGUAUAUAACCAAAAUGAUCGUAUAUAACAAAAAAAAAAAUUAAAAUGUAUAAUAUCUUAAUUAUAUUUGACUUACUCCGUGACUCUUUUAUAACGGUUGAUUAUGUCAACUAUCCAAUCGAAUUCUUUCCAAGAACUUUUAUUAUUCACAUCUUCUACAUUAUUAUAUAUGUUGUUAUUUAAAAAUGGUUGUCGUAAUUUAAGUCUGAA
RNAcentral lists this long non-coding RNA (1765 nucleotides) under Polistes dominula (European paper wasp). Its description in RNAcentral is "uncharacterized LOC107072535, transcript variant X2". The record is from RNAcentral. Lineage: Eukaryota; Metazoa; Arthropoda; Insecta; Hymenoptera; Vespidae.